This 62-nucleotide transfer RNA is filed under the name Amblyomma triguttatum (ornate kangaroo tick). Its description in RNAcentral is "tRNA-His". The record is from RNAcentral. Lineage: Eukaryota; Metazoa; Arthropoda; Arachnida; Ixodida; Ixodidae.
GUUUAAUUAGUUUAAUUAUAAAAUUAUAAAUUGUGGGUUUAUAGAUGAAUUUUCAUUAAACA